UACGUAGGCAGCGAGCGUUGUUCGGAAUUACUGGGCGUAAAGAGUGUGUAGGCGGUGCUCUAAGUUCGGUGUGAAAUCUCCCGGCUUAACUGGGAGGGUGCGCCGGAAACUGGAGUGCUCGAGCGUGGGAGAGGAAAGCGGAAUUCCUGGUGUAGCGGUGAAAUGCGUAGAUAUCAGGAGGAACACCUGCGGUGUAGACGGCUUUCUGGAUCGUUGCUGACGCUGAGACGCGAAAGCGUGGGGAGCAAACAGG
RNAcentral lists this ribosomal RNA (253 nucleotides) under uncultured bacterium. RNAcentral's name for it is "partial 16S ribosomal RNA". It matches the Rfam family "Bacterial small subunit ribosomal RNA", at positions 524 to 776 of the family's 1533-position model. The record is from RNAcentral.